AACUGAUAUAGAAAUAAUCAAAAUAUGGUUUCGUAAUAUGGUACGACAAAUAAAAAAUUGCCAUAUUAAUGAUUUAUUAUUUAUUUCUGCAUUAAAAUAUUAUAAUUAUGAUAUGUUAGAAGAGCGUAUGAAAUAUUAUAUUGAUUUAGAUAAUGGAACUGAUAUAUAUAUUGUAGGGUGUGUAAAUGUAGGAAAAUCAUCUUUUAUAAAUUCUUUUUUACGUUUUAUUAAUUAUAGACAUAUUGGAGAUAUAUAUAAUAAAAGAAAAAAAGGAGGUGUUACUACUUCUAAUUUACCUUAUACAACAUUAAAUUAUAACGUUUUUAAAUUAAAAAAAAAUAUAAAUUUAAUUGAUACUAUUGGUAUACCAACCAAAUAUCAAUAUUCAUCUAUUUUGUAUAAAAAUAUAGAUCUUAACAGUAUAUGUAUAAAUAAAAAAAUACAACCAUUUACAUAUAAAUUAAAAACGGAUUCUUCUAUAUUACUAGGAAGCUUAUGUUAUAUUAACUUUAUUUAUGGAAAUUUUGCUUUUUUAACUUUUUAUAUAUCCAAUAAAGUUACUAUUCAUUUAUGUAAAAGUGAAAAAGUCGAAUCUCUAUUACAAAAAAAAAAAUGCUCUUUUUUAUACCCACCUCAUACAAACAAAGAUUUUGAUUUACUAAUGCCUUUUGUCAAACAUACAGUUCAAGUUUAUGGUAAAGAUUUUGAAAGUGUUGAUGACAUUGUUAUAGCUGACUUAGGUUGGUUUUCUGUAACAGGCAGCGGAAUAAAAAUAUUUGAAAUAUAUGCACCCAAAAAUAUCAAAAUUUAUAGAAGACCUUCUAUGAUUAAUGAUUCCAUAAAACACACUCAUGUAGAUGUUUUUAAAUAUAAAUCUUAUCGUGGUAGAACAAAUAAAAUUUUAAAAAAAAAAAAAAAACUAAUUGAACAAUUAGAUAGAUUAAAUCCACAAAAGCGAGAAGAAAUAAAACUUUUAACUAUUCAAAAUGAACGUGUACAAAUUGAAAAGUUGUCAAAUUUUAAUGACGUGGGAGAUGUAUCAUGUGCUUCCACCCAGUCUGGUAGUAUGUCUAUCCUUUCGAAUAGAGCGGACUUAGAAAACAUUAUACACUCUUUGUGAGUUUCGAACGUAAUCAUUCAAAAGUGGUACACAAAAAAAAAAAAAA
Molecule: long non-coding RNA, 1166 nt
Filed under: Piliocolobus tephrosceles (Ugandan red Colobus)
Lineage: Eukaryota; Metazoa; Chordata; Mammalia; Primates; Cercopithecidae
Description: lncRNA (ENSPTEG00000000463.1)
Source: RNAcentral